CAACUAGUUCAUAUGACGACAACGAUAAUUAUUGUAUGAUGGUAGUUGUCUGAAGUCAUAAAAAGCUUAUCGGUAUGCUUAUUCAUUAGAGCGGUUCGAUUCCUGAAACUAUCUCUAGUCUGAUUAAGUGUGGUAACAGUUUUAAGAUGAGUCAAAGAUUCUGGUUGAACAGUUCUCCAUCGACACUAACUGGAAGAAAUAAUUGUUUUAUCAUUUGUCUAAAUAGACUAGCUAGAAUGUGACCAGAGGAAGAUUAAAUGGACAUAUCAUAUAUUUCUCCAUGGACACUGUAAUCCAUAGACGGAUUUUUGACACUAUAUUUGAAUAUUUGUUGUUGAAGUUAAUUGAAUUUUGUGCAAAACCCCUGGAAGAAUAUUCUGUAUCAGACUAACAGUAUAAACGCCACCCAGUAUUUCUGUUUACCUGCUGUUAAACAUCGUAGUA
Long non-coding RNA from Adelges cooleyi (spruce gall adelgid), 444 nucleotides. RefSeq lists it as uncharacterized. The record is from RefSeq and is a predicted model, not a curated record. NCBI's taxonomy places the organism in Eukaryota, Metazoa, Arthropoda, Insecta, Hemiptera, Adelgidae. The transcript has 4 exons.